AUUGUUUCUUGGCCUUUUGGCUAAGAUCAAGUGUAGUAUCUGUUCUUAUCAGUAUAAUAUCUGAUACAUCCUCUAUCCAAGGACAAUAUAUUAAAUGGAUAUUUGAGAGUAGGAGGUGGAAUAGAAGCUUGUUCUGUCCACUCCACACAUCAACCUGGUAUUGCAGUACCACCAGGAAUGUUGCAAAAAAU
Molecule: small nuclear RNA, 191 nt
Filed under: Chinchilla lanigera (long-tailed chinchilla)
Lineage: Eukaryota; Metazoa; Chordata; Mammalia; Rodentia; Chinchillidae
Description: U2 spliceosomal RNA (ENSCLAG00000020626.1)
Rfam family: U2 spliceosomal RNA
About the family: U2 is a small nuclear RNA (snRNA) component of the spliceosome (involved in pre-mRNA splicing). Complementary binding between U2 snRNA (in an area lying towards the 5' end but 3' to hairpin I) and the branchpoint sequence (BPS) of the intron results the bulging out of an unpaired adenosine, on the BPS, which initiates a nucleophilic attack at the intronic 5' splice site, thus starting the first of two transesterification reactions that mediate splicing.
Source: Rfam by way of RNAcentral